GAUGAACGCUGGCGGCGUGCCUAAUACAUGCAAGUCGAGCGAACAGACGAGGAGCUUGCUCCUCUGACGUUAGCGGCGGACGGGUGAGUAACACGUGGAUAACCUACCUAUAAGACUGGGAUAACUUCGGGAAACCGGAGCUAAUACCGGAUAAUAUAUUGAACCGCAUGGUUCAAUAGUGAAAGACGGUUUUGCUGUCGCUUAUAGAUGGAUCCGCGCCGCAUUAGCUAGUUGGUAAGGUAACGGCUUACCAAGGCGACGAUGCGUAGCCGACCUGAGAGGGUGAUCGGCCACACUGGAACUGAGACACGGUCCAGACUCCUACGGGAGGCAGCAGUAGGGAAUCUUCCGCAAUGGGCGAAAGCCUGACGGAGCAACGCCGCGUGAGUGAUGAAGGUCUUCGGAUCGUAAAACUCUGUUAUUAGGGAAGAACAAAUGUGUAAGUAACUAUGCACGUCUUGACGGUACCUAAUCAGAAAGCCACGACUAACUACGUG
This 497-nucleotide ribosomal RNA is filed under the name uncultured bacterium. Its description in RNAcentral is "partial 16S ribosomal RNA". It matches the Rfam family "Bacterial small subunit ribosomal RNA", at positions 28 to 507 of the family's 1533-position model. The record is from RNAcentral.